This 433-nucleotide ribosomal RNA is filed under the name uncultured bacterium. RNAcentral's name for it is "partial 16S ribosomal RNA". It matches the Rfam family "Bacterial small subunit ribosomal RNA", at positions 29 to 507 of the family's 1533-position model. The record is from RNAcentral.
AACGAACGCUGGCGGCAUGCCUAACACAUGCAAGUCGAACGAAACCUUCGGGUCUAGUGGCGCACGGGUUCGUAACGCGUGGGAACCUUCCCUUAGGUUCGGCAUAACUCCCCGACAGGGGUGCUAAUACCGGAUAAUGUCUUCGGACCAAUGAUUUAUCGCCCUUGGAUGGGCCCGCGUUGGAUUAGCUCGUUGGUAGGGUAAAAGCCUACCACGGCGACGAUCCAUAGCUGGUCUGAGAGGAUGAUCAGCCACACUGGGACUGAGACACGGCCCAGACUCCUACGGGAGGCAGCAGUGGGGAAUAUUGGACAAUGGGCGAAAGCCUGAUCCAGCAAUGCCGCGUGAGUGAUGAAGGCCUUAGAGUUGUAAAGCUCUUUUAACCGGGAUGAUAAUGACAGUACCGGGAGAAUAAGCCCCGGCUAACUCCGUG